UACGGAGGGGGCUAGCGUUGUUCGGAAUUACUGGGCGUAAAGCGCACGUAGGCGGACUGUUAAGUCGGGGGUGAAAUCCCGGAGCUCAACCGCGGAAUGGCCUUCGAUACUGGCGGUCUUGAGGUCUGGAGAGGUGAGUGGAAUUCCGCGUGUAGAGGUGAAAUUCGUAGAUAUUCGGAGGAACACCAGUGGCGAAGGCGGCUCACUGGCCAGAUACUGACGCUGAGGUGCGAAAGCGCGGGGAGCAAACAGG
RNAcentral lists this ribosomal RNA (253 nucleotides) under uncultured bacterium. RNAcentral describes it as "partial 16S ribosomal RNA". It matches the Rfam family "Bacterial small subunit ribosomal RNA", at positions 524 to 776 of the family's 1533-position model. The record is from RNAcentral.